GAACGCACCUUGCACUCCUUGGUAUUCCGAGGAGUACGCCUGUUCGAGUGUUAUGAAGCUCUCAAAACGCAAUUGGCUUAAAACCUGAUUGUUGUUUUGGAUUUGAACUUUGCCGUGUUACAACGGCUGGUUUUAAAAGCAUUAGCUGGUACUAGAACGAAUUGGUUCUACUCAACGUGAUAAUUAUCUGAUCGUUGAGGACAUUCCUUUCACGAGGAAUGGCCAUAGUAAAUUCAAUGGACUGCUUCUAACUUGGCUUUAAUUCUUAAUUGGAUUAACCACUUUUCAAAUCUGACCUCGAAUCAGGUGGGACUACCCGCUGAACUUAAG
Molecule: unclassified non-coding RNA, 330 nt
Filed under: uncultured fungus
Lineage: Eukaryota; Fungi
Description: sequence contains 5.8S rRNA gene
Source: RNAcentral